RNAcentral lists this ribosomal RNA (535 nucleotides) under Colletotrichum sp. HS-EF4. RNAcentral's name for it is "eukaryotic LSU rRNA". The stretch from base 160 to 313 matches the Rfam family "5.8S ribosomal RNA". Lineage: Eukaryota; Fungi; Ascomycota; Sordariomycetes; Glomerellales; Glomerellaceae. The record is from RNAcentral.
AUGCUUCACCCUUGUGACAUACCUAUAACUGUUGCUUCGGCGGGUAGGGUCUCCGUGACCCUCCCGGCCUCCCGCCCCCGGGCGGGUCGGCGCCCGCCGGAGGAUAACCAAACUCUGAUUUAACGACGUUUCUUCUGAGUGGUACAAGCAAAUAAUCAAAACUUUUAACAACGGAUCUCUUGGUUCUGGCAUCGAUGAAGAACGCAGCGAAAUGCGAUAAGUAAUGUGAAUUGCAGAAUUCAGUGAAUCAUCGAAUCUUUGAACGCACAUUGCGCCCGCCAGCAUUCUGGCGGGCAUGCCUGUUCGAGCGUCAUUUCAACCCUCAAGCUCUGCUUGGUGUUGGGGCCCUACGGCUGACGUAGGCCCUCAAAGGUAGUGGCGGACCCUCCCGGAGCCUCCUUUGCGUAGUAACUUUACGUCUCGCACUGGGAUCCGGAGGGACUCUUGCCGUAAAACCCCCAAUUUUCCAAAGGUUGACCUCGGAUCAGGUAGGAAUACCCGCUGAACUUAAGCAUAUCAAUAGCCGGAAGGAAGA